GACGAACGCUGGCGGCGUGCCUAAUACAUGCAAGUAGAACGCUGAAGAGAGGAGCUUGCUCUUCUUGGAUGAGUUGCGAACGGGUGAGUAACGCGUAGGUAACCUGCCUUGUAGCGGGGGAUAACUAUUGGAAACGAUAGCUAAUACCGCAUAACAAUGGAUGACACAUGUCAUUUAUUUGAAAGGGGCAAUUGCUCCACUACAAGAUGGACCUGCGUUGUAUUAGCUAGUAGGUGAGGUAAUGGCUCACCUAGGCGACGAUACAUAGCCGACCUGAGAGGGUGAUCGGCCACACUGGGACUGAGACACGGCCCAGACUCCUACGGGAGGCAGCAGUAGGGGAUCUUCGGCAAUGGGGGCAACCCUGACCGAGCAACGCCGCGUGAGUGAAGAAGGUUGUCGGAUCGUAAAGUUCUGUUGUAAGUCAAGAACGGGUGUGAGAGUGGAAAGUUCACACUGUGACGGUAGCUUACCAGAAAGGGACGGCUAACUACGUG
RNAcentral lists this ribosomal RNA (497 nucleotides) under uncultured bacterium. RNAcentral describes it as "partial 16S ribosomal RNA". It matches the Rfam family "Bacterial small subunit ribosomal RNA", at positions 28 to 507 of the family's 1533-position model. The record is from RNAcentral.